Notolabrus celidotus (New Zealand spotty) is the source of this 2201-nucleotide long non-coding RNA. RefSeq lists it as uncharacterized. The record is from RefSeq and is a predicted model, not a curated record. The transcript is spliced from 2 exons. NCBI's taxonomy places the organism in Eukaryota, Metazoa, Chordata, Actinopteri, Labriformes, Labridae.
CUUAAGCUGAGGGUGAGUCGCACAAGAAUGGCAAUUCAUUACCAAGAAUCGCAAUAACUGGAUACAAUUAAGAAUGACAAGGAUCCAUGUGCUUGCCUUACCAAUGAACUCAUCCUGCACCAUAAGUGAGGCUCUGUACAUUCCCAAAUCUAUACUUCCACAUCUGCCAUUCUUGUACAACCACCAGCUAGUUCAAGUCCUACCGGUAGACUACUUGAAGGUCUGUGGAAACACAGGAGUCCAAACAGAGGCAGGAGACGAUGGAGGAGGCAGGGAUGUCAGUGACAGCUCUGCGACGGAAAAAGCUCCUGUGGCGUAAACAUGCCGGAGAGCCGCUCUGUCAACAUGCCGGACGGGCGACAGGAAACUUCUACUCUGAAGAAGAUGACUCGUACUGCCCAGGGGGGCUUUGGCAGACGGUGUACUAGAGACUAGUGAGACCCUCUGAGUCAGCAGUGUGACAUCACGUUGACAUCACAGCGUGAUGACAGGUCUCAUGAAACUGUGCCCCAUGAGAUCACACAAACAUCCAAGCUGUCAACAGGAGCAACAGAACUAUACUUUCUCAACUUUAAAGGUAUUGCACUGUCAAAAUGUGCUUGUAUACAAGUAUAAAUAUCCAACAGUAAACUAAAGCAAGAAAAAGCAUGAUACUGUAUCAUUUAGAUGGUGAUGAUUUUUUUCUUUUUGCACACCCAGAAUGUAAAAUAGCCCAAACCAGAUGCACCACAAAGUCACCUUACCAAAUCUGAAGCUACCGUAUGUAACAUUUUUGGAGAUGUGUGGAAAUAUGCCAAGAAACAUUUGAACUCAAACAGACAUUGACUUAACUUCCAUACUUCUGGGAUGAGAACCCUCAUCAUAAAAGCUGGUCUGACAAAUAAUGAUUGAUGAAAAGAAACAUUAAACUUUGAUUUAACCUGCCUUUAAAGACAAGGCACAGUACCAGUUUGUUUUGGACCAGAUGCUGUUGGCUUUGAAGCACUAAAAUGAACUGAUGUAAGAUACAACCAACAUGUUUGAAGAUGCCUUUCCAUUCCUUAGUUCAGGUGUUUGCAUCAUGUUUGACCUGCCAUUCACCGGAUCAAUACUGACUUUUUUUUCUUCUUCUCUGAUUCAAAGUUUUUCUUCAUAACAAGCCAUGUUUCUGGGAAAUUUUACAGUAUGUCUUGUUUCAUUGGUUCAUUAGUCCUGAUGCGGAAUACUGCCUGAUUUUGUUCACAUUUACUUAUAGUGAAUUUUUGAAGCUAGAUUUUUGUACUAUACAAAAGGUGGAGUUGUGAAGUGGGUUUACACAGAGGUCCAACCACUGAUGGGUGAUUAAAAUUAAUCACUUUCACUGCUCAUGAUUCAAAGAUUCAAGGAAUGUUGCCUUUAAGGUUAACCCUAAAUAAUGCAAGUUCAAAGGCUUUCAAUAACAGGUGGUGGCUCACUCAUUUUUCUUACAUUUAGAUUGUUAGGAUUAAAUUUAGCAGAUGCUUUAUACAAAGGGAUGUACAUCUGAGAGUGAGAACAACAAAAGCAAGAAUAUUUUUCUUAAUUUAUAAGGGAAUUAUUCUGUAAUUGUUUAAUUGCUUGUUCACAGAGGUGGGCACAGUUAAUCAUUUUUUAAAACUAUUAACCACUAAACCAUUUGCAAAGACAUUAUAUUUGAUAACACUUAAUGUGUUAAUUUGUUUAUAACUACAAACAUUAAUCCUUUAAAAAUUAAUGGAAGUUGAACUGGUGCCACUUAGUGACGUGGAGUUUUAAAACCUUUAACAUUUUCUCUCCUCUCAGUUGUAUUACAUGAUACAGGUAUUUGUGGAAGUGAAGUCAGGUAACGCAAACAUGACGAUAUUAAAGAAAACCAAAUUUAACAGCAGACUUCUUAAGGUCAAUUAAGAUAGGAACUGGAGCACACUGAUUAGGUUGCACUAUCUAAAUGUAUCAGUGAUCAACUUCAUCUGAGUCAUUGUGGACAUAGAAAACAAGCAAACACAUUACAAAACACUGUUGUCAACACUGGACAGGUGUAAAAAAAAAAGUGUAAAUAGUUGAGAGAAUUUCUGAUCAGCUUGAUAAUUGAGCCCAUGUGUGAGCUGCUAUAUCUCCAAAUGCUACGCCUCAUGCACACAGAAAAAGAUACCAACUACUGCAUCCAUCAAGUGUUAAAAAACAUGAAGAAUAAGGUAAAAAUAAAUCCAACUUUGUCAAAAGUG